This 2032-nucleotide ribosomal RNA is filed under the name Cleippides quadricuspis. RNAcentral's name for it is "partial 18S ribosomal RNA". It matches the Rfam family "Eukaryotic small subunit ribosomal RNA". The record is from RNAcentral. Lineage: Eukaryota; Metazoa; Arthropoda; Malacostraca; Amphipoda; Calliopiidae.
UAAGCCAUGCAUGUCUAAGUCCAGCUGUGUUUACACGGCGAGACCGCGGACGGCUCAUUAAAUCAGUCGUGGUCCAAAUGGGCCAGUGUUGAUCCNACUUGGACAACUGUGGUAAUUCCAGAGCUAAUACAUGCAACUCAWAUCCAGACGGGGCUUCCCCGGUCGUUCCUUGUGUUCGCCGGGUGUUGUCGCUGACGGAUGCUUUUAUUAGACCAAACCGCUGAGGGCGUCGGUCUUUCGGGGCCUUCGUUUGACUCGUGUUAUGGUGACUCUGAAUAACCUUUUGACAAGCGCACGUACCACUCUUUGAGUUGGACGGCGCUGCCACUUUCGAGUGUCUGCCUUAUCAGCUAUCAACCGUUCGUUAUGUGCGACCGAUGGCUUUGACGGGUAACGGGGAAUCAGAGUUCGAUUCCGGAGAGGCAGCCUGAGAGACGGCUACCACGUCCAAGGACGGCAGCAGGCACGCAAAUUACCCAAUCCCAGCUAAUGGGGGAGGUAGUGACGAAAUCUAACGAUGCGGGCGCCCUUUCUGGGGCCCCGCAAUCGGAAUGGGCACUUUCUAAACAACCUGUUGAGAACCUACUGAAGGGCAAGUCUGGUGCCAGCAGCCGCGGUAAUUCCAGCUUCAGCAGCAUCUAUUAAAGUUGCUGCGGUUAAAAGGCUCGCAGUUGAAUGUCAGUAUCGAGCGCAGGUAGGUGGACGUUSGGGCGUGGGAUUAACGGCGUGUGCGCCCGCACUCGCUUGCGCGUUUGUGUGGUAAUCGCGUCUCUCACAAGCUCCCGUCCGUAACAAGCCUCCUCGCUUGCGUACAUAUCGGAUUCGGUUUAACGGAGUGUGCUCAUGAGGCGGCGGAUGCUUCGGAUGGUUGGUCUGAGGUGCGUGUGUGCGCGCUUGCGMGUGUGUGCGUGUCGCUUCUUCCUUCGUUCUCUUCCAAGUCUGGCACGUUAAGCUCCUUCGUAUCUAAAGUCACCUUGAGUAAAUCAGAGUGCUCAAAGCAGUCGUAGGGGCCUCGUGCCCCGUGAACAGUCUUGACGGACUGACUUGGUUUUGCAUGGCAUGUCGAAAGACGACGUCGUGUGCAGGCUCAGAGAUUUACAUCAGUGGUAUAAGCCUGUCGCGACGUAAUGAUUAAAAGGGUCGGUCGAGGGCAUUGGUAUUGCGAGGCGAGAGGUGAAAUUCUGUGACCCUCGCAAGACCUCCCGAAGCGAAAGCGUCUGCCAAGGACGUCUUCAUAAUCAUGAACGACUGCGGCUUAUUUGACUCAACACGGGCCAUCUCACCAGGCCAGCACUCUUGUAUGAUUGACAGAUUGAGAGCUCUUUCUCGAUUCAGUGGAUGGUGGUGCAUGGCCGUUCUUAGUUGGUGGAGUGAUCUGUCUGGUUAAUUCCGAUAACGAACGAGACUCUCCCCUGCUAACUAGUCGGUUGGAUCUUGCUCGGUGAGUCGUGCGCCGGGAAUAAGCUCGGUAGUUGUCGUUCGUUGUACUUGUUGUUCGGUUGGCUUCGGUCUUCCCUGCGCAUUUGCUCGUUCGCGCUGCUGGGUCUCUCGGGUCGUACACUCCAAGUCCGCCGCUUAUGCUAUAACUCUUCUUAGAGGGAUUCACGGCACUGAAGCCGUUCGAGACUGAGAGCAAUAACAGGUCUGUGAUGCCCUUAGAUGCUCUGGGCCGCACGCGCGCUACAAUGCCGGGCACAGCAGGUAGUUCUCCUGCUCCGUCAGGAGCGGGUAACCCUCUGAAAGCCCUGGUUUUCCUCGUGUCUCUGCGACACGAGCGGCGUGCUUGGGCCUGGGGCUUGCAAUUGUUUCCCACAAACGAGGAAUGCCUAGUAGCGGCGGGUCACUGAGCCCGCCGUGACUCAGUCCCUGCCCUUUGUACACACCGCCCGUCGCUACUACCGAUUGGGUGUACCAGUGAGAGCCUUGGACUGGCGUCCGUUGCCUUCGGGUAAACGGGUCCGACGGAAAGAGGUCCGAACUGGUGCACUUAGAGGAAGUAAAAGUCGUAACAVGGUUUCCUWAGUUGACCUGC